Non-coding RNA from Cinara cedri, 709 nucleotides. Lineage: Eukaryota; Metazoa; Arthropoda; Insecta; Hemiptera; Aphididae. The record is from the annotation of a GenBank genome assembly.
GCUUGGUUCAAGACCGCACGAAACUUUUUUAAGAGCCGCAUGCGGCGAUCGUGCCUCGUGACCACCCCUGCCAUAGAAUAAUUACUCAAUCAUCUAUGGUUCACAGUUUACACCUUAUUUAUCUACCUUGGCCAGUAUUUUCAAUAUUAAUACUUUGAUGUUAUUCUAAACGUUUACUCAUAAGUGAUACGCUGUUAGUAAGUAGGUACAUACCUAUUUUACAGAAUUUCUGAAAGUCCAAUUAUCUACGUAUGGACGUGUUUAAAAGUAAUGUAUUGUAUUUACAUUAAUUUAUUUCAAUAGGAAACGCCAACAUGCAACGCUUUUGGUAGUAAGUACGGGAAAUCAUUUAAUUGUUAAAAAAUUAUGCAUUAAAUACUUGCAAACCAAUAAUGAUGUUUAGAUCAGAGUCUUACCCAAGUGAUCGAUCUCAGUAGCUAUCAGCUGGUAAUUUCUUUUAGAUCAUAUACUACGUAUAUAUAUGUAAUAAUAAUUUGUGUUAAGUAAUUUGGAUUAACUAUGGCUUUUUUGGGAUAGGAAGAAAAAAAUGUAAAGAAACGACCAUAACAUUAACAUUGUCAAAUGGUGUAUGCAACUAGGUAAGUGUAUUACAGCAAAUUAUAGGGCGUGUGACCAACAUAGGCACCAAAUACGCGUCACGAAGAUAGUUCACGUAAUUAUAUGGAAACCACUGGUGUUUCUAUCGGGC